AACGUAGGAGACAAACGUUAUCCGGAGUUACUGGGCGUAAAGGGCGUGCAGGUGGUCUGUUAAGUCUGGCGUGAAAGCUCCUGGCUAAACCGGGAGAGGUCGUUGGAUACUGGCGGACUAGAGGACGUUAGAGGCGUGUGGAAUUCCGGGAGUAGUGGUGAAAUGCGUAGAGAUCCGGAGGAACACCAGUGGCGAAGGCGACACGCUGGGCCGUACCUGACACUGAUACGCGACAGCAUGGGGAGCGAACGGG
Molecule: ribosomal RNA, 253 nt
Filed under: uncultured bacterium
Lineage: Bacteria
Description: partial 16S ribosomal RNA
Rfam family: Bacterial small subunit ribosomal RNA
Source: RNAcentral